GUGAAGGAGGCCCUGCCUGGUGAAGGACGUCUGUCGUGGGACCAGGACUCUGGCUGAGGAGAGCUGAUGGAGGAGCUGACACGCUGGAGGACGACUAGGAAUCGACCAACAAGGAUUCCUCAACGUGUUUCUGGAGCGGAGGCGAGCUGGUAGGGGAGCCGUGAAUCUGGAGGAUGACCAUCACUCUACCAACAAGGAUUACGUUGGGGCCAGACUCACGCUGUUUGUUCCAGACCAGGACUCUGGCUGAGGUGAGCUGAUGGAGGAGUUGAGACGCUGGAGGACGACUAGGAAUCGACCAACAAGGAUUCCUCGUAAGUUUGCAUUUACUUACAUGGUUGACUUAAAGGGCAAAAUACAGCUGUUACUUUGACAUGCGUUAACCAACUACCGCUGUGUUUUCUUACUAGAACGUGUUUCUGGAGCGGAGGUGAGCUGGUAGGGGAGCCGUGAAUCUGGAGGAUGACCAUCACUCUACCAACAAGGAUUGUAAGUUUGUAUUAACCAAACAACAAAGUGGAAAUGAAGGGCUUAAAAAUAAGACAAACUACAUAUUUGUUACCAGACGUUACUACAGCUGCUAAUUUGUUACGCGCCAUAAGAGCCCAACUACUCCUGUGUUUGUGACCUUACAUUAGAGCCCAACUACUACUUUGUUUGUUACCUGAUA
Long non-coding RNA from Gadus macrocephalus (Pacific cod), 670 nucleotides. RefSeq lists it as uncharacterized. The record is from RefSeq and is a predicted model, not a curated record. Lineage: Eukaryota; Metazoa; Chordata; Actinopteri; Gadiformes; Gadidae. The transcript has 4 exons.